This 131-nucleotide small RNA is filed under the name Salmonella enterica. RNAcentral's name for it is "RtT sRNA". It matches the Rfam family "RtT RNA". Rfam says of the family: This family represents a bacterial cis-regulatory element known as RtT RNA. The exact function of RtT is unknown although it is thought that it may be involved in changing the cellular response in relation to amino acid starvation. Lineage: Bacteria; Pseudomonadati; Pseudomonadota; Gammaproteobacteria; Enterobacterales; Enterobacteriaceae. The record is from RNAcentral. RNAcentral also lists the same sequence under 13 other names.
UAUCUCUCCGUACGGGGAAGGAUGAGAAGCUUUGACUAAGGUUCGAUUCGAGCGCAGCGAGAAAGCGUUGCCGCAGGCAACGACCCGAAGGGUGAGGAGCGGAGCGACGAAUAAUCCUUCCCCCACCACCA